This is a non-coding RNA of Schistosoma curassoni, 78 nucleotides long. The record is from Rfam. NCBI's taxonomy places the organism in Eukaryota, Metazoa, Platyhelminthes, Trematoda, Strigeidida, Schistosomatidae.
AGUCUUCUGUAUCCGUGCUGAGAUAUCGUCACACACCAGACCACAAGGACUGAUGAGACUUCCAAGAUAAGUGAAGCG